This 463-nucleotide ribosomal RNA is filed under the name Aricidea claudiae. Its description in RNAcentral is "partial large subunit ribosomal RNA". It matches the Rfam family "Bacterial large subunit ribosomal RNA", at positions 1928 to 2605 of the family's 2925-position model. Lineage: Eukaryota; Metazoa; Annelida; Polychaeta; Paraonidae. The record is from RNAcentral.
CGGCCGCGGUACCCUGACCGUGCUAAGGUAGCAUAAUCCCUUGCCUCCUAAUUAGUGGCUAGUAUGAAUGGAUAAACGAAAAUCAAGCUGUCUCUAUAAAUUUCAUAAAAAUUAUCCCUCAAGUGAAGAGACUUGAAUCAAGAUAAAAGACAAGAAGACCCUGUAGAGCCUAAGCAAAAUUAAAAGCAAAGAACAUAAUAAAACCCUUUCCCUUUAAUCUAGCUCCAGUUGGGGCGACUCGGGAGCACCAAAACCCUCCUUUUCCUUCUAGGCCCUUCAGCCAAAUCAACUGAUCCAUUACCAAAUGAUUAAAAAACCAGGCUACCUCAGGGAUAACAGUCUAAUCUUCCUUAAGAGUCCAUAUUGACAGGAAGGAUUGGCACCUCGAUGUUGGCUUAGGGGCACUCCUCGGCGCAGCCACCUUGGAAGUAGGUUUGUUCAACCUUUUAUACCCUACGUGAUC